This 481-nucleotide ribosomal RNA is filed under the name uncultured bacterium. RNAcentral's name for it is "SSU rRNA". It matches the Rfam family "Bacterial small subunit ribosomal RNA", at positions 26 to 523 of the family's 1533-position model. The record is from RNAcentral.
AGGAUGAACGCUGGCGGCGUGCCUAACACAUGCAAGUCGAACGUCCUGUCUCGCAAGAGGCAGGGAGUGGCGGACGGGUGAGUACCACGUGGGUUAUCUACCGUGAGGUGAGGAAUACCGGCGAGAAAUCGCCGACAAGACCGCAUAGCCUCGGUGCAAGCCGAGGAAAGCUUUCUCGAGAGAGGGAGCGCCACACGAGGAGCCUGCGCCCGAUUAGCUAGCUGGUGGAGUAACGGUUCACCAGGGCGACGAUCGGUAGCUGGUCUGAGAGGACGAUCAGCCACACUGGGAUUGAGAACGGCCCAGACUCCUACGGGGGGCAGCAGUGAGGAAUUUUCGUCAAUGGGGGCAACCCUGAACGAGCAACGCCGCGUGCAGGAAGAAGGUUUUCGGAUCGUAAACUGCUUUUCGUCGGGGAAGAGAACGGACGGUACCCGAGGAAUCGACGCCCCGGCUAACUACGCGCCAGCAGCCGCGGUAA